RNAcentral lists this ribosomal RNA (244 nucleotides) under uncultured Lactobacillus sp. RNAcentral describes it as "partial 16S ribosomal RNA". It matches the Rfam family "Bacterial small subunit ribosomal RNA", at positions 118 to 355 of the family's 1533-position model. Lineage: Bacteria; Bacillati; Bacillota; Bacilli; Lactobacillales; Lactobacillaceae. The record is from RNAcentral.
UGGGUAACCUGCCCAAGAGAUCGGGAUAACACCUGGAAACAGAUGCUAAUACCGGAUAACAACAGAUGAUGCCUAUCAACUGUUUAAAAGAUGGUUCUGCUAUCACUCUUGGAUGGACCUGCGGUGCAUUAGCUAGUUGGUAGGGUAACGGCCUACCAAGGCGAUAAUGCAUAGCCGAGUUGAGAGACUGAUCGGCCACAUUGGGACUGAGACACGGCCCAAACUCCUACGGGAGGCAGCAGUU